Molecule: non-coding RNA, 155 nt
Organism: Homo sapiens (human)
Lineage: Eukaryota; Metazoa; Chordata; Mammalia; Primates; Hominidae
Rfam family: Metazoan signal recognition particle RNA
About the family: The signal recognition particle (SRP) is a universally conserved ribonucleoprotein.
Source: Rfam
GCCGGGCAUGGUGGCGGGUGCCUGUAGUCCCAGCUACUCAGGAGGCUGAGGCAGGAGAAUUGCUUGAACCCGGGACAUGGAGGUUGCAGUGAGCCGAGAUCUGAGAUCAUGCCACUGCACUCCAGCCUGGGUGACAGAGCGAGACACUGUCUCAA